Physella acuta is the source of this 1191-nucleotide long non-coding RNA. RefSeq lists it as uncharacterized. Lineage: Eukaryota; Metazoa; Mollusca; Gastropoda; Physidae. The record is from RefSeq and is a predicted model, not a curated record.
CGGACGUGUAUAAAUUGGUAGGGUGAGUAGAGUGGACGAGACACAUGGGAUUUGGCUGGGUUGUGUUGUGAUCUACACUAAUACAUAAGGUUCAUCAUUUGGUGGUUGUCAUUUCCUGGUUGUCAUUUGCUGGUUGUCGCUGAGAUAGUUUCACAGUGCCUACACUUAAUAUUUACACAGGUUCCCGCGUGAGCAGACUAUCAUGAACACCCCUCUACUCCUGACUCUCGUGGUCCUGUGUCUGGCUGCAGCCGUCUGCUCCCAGGACCCCAUGAAGGACAAAGUCCUCUGCAUCAUCCCCAGUCUGUCCUCCAGACGGUGCCGGAACACGGCCGCAUCCAACGCCUCCGGCAACAACGACCCCAAGUCCGCCUGCUCAAAGCUCGAAACCUUCCGGUACUUACUUCCCUUUGUCGGCUGCUCGUCUGACGACUACAAGAAACUUCACGCGGUCGUCUGCGAGCAUAAAGAUGUACCCUGCGCCCCUGCUGUUUAGUGAACUCUUUUAAGUUUGUUUCGUCACACUUUGUUGGUUGGUUUAUAUUUUAGAAAAAUGUUGUUACAUAAAGAUGGGUUAACUAAAUGUAGUGUUUUCUGUUUUAUUAUAGUUCGAUCAAUUAUUUUAAAUCAUGUCUUUUUCAUUUAAUUAUAUCUUAUCAAAAAGGUCAAACUUAAAAAAAAAAAGAUUGUGAAAAUGUUUCCGUUAGUUCUACCUACUGAACCACACCGCUUAUGUCACGUUUCUCGGUAACUGACCUAAUUAGUCAGUAGUCAUCCAACACAAUUUUACAAUCCAUUUUUUUUUCUAAAUUAUUUUUUUAUUGUUUUACUCAAUAAAUUUUUUACUUGUUUAAAUAAAAUAGUUUUGUUUUAAUUGACUGUACGGUGUGUGUGUGUGUGUGUAGGUGUGUGUCUGUGUGUAGGGGGAGGGGUGGAGCGUGAGAGGGAUGGGCCAAGAGAGGAGGGGAGUCAAUGAUUGAAAAGAAAUAGAGGAUUAAAAACAGUCAGAAUGUUUUAGUAUAUUUUUUCUAAAAAAAAAAUGCCAACGCUCUGCCUUGAUGAGUUGAAGGUUAUUUGAAAAAUUUAAAAGUUAAAAUGAAAGGAAUAUUGAUCUGCAUGAAUGUAAAGAGGGAAUGUAUAAUUGAUUAUGUAAUGUAUUACACUUUGUAUCUAUGCAGUAAACAUGUUUAC